Myripristis murdjan (pinecone soldierfish) is the source of this 341-nucleotide long non-coding RNA. RefSeq lists it as uncharacterized. The transcript has 3 exons. NCBI's taxonomy places the organism in Eukaryota, Metazoa, Chordata, Actinopteri, Holocentriformes, Holocentridae. The record is from RefSeq and is a predicted model, not a curated record.
UCAUAUGCAGAUGUCCCUUCAUGCGGGAGAAAAUUGGUUCAGGACAUGAUCUGGAAAGAAGCGCCAUACUCUGGGUCAACCAAGCCAGCUUUUCUACAUAACCAGGCCCGCUGCUCAGGAAGAUGGAGACUUUUGAGAGGAUGAAAGGACCAUUCAAGCUCAUAUCCAAAAUAUGUCUACAGAGAUGCUUAAAGUACACUUUGGGAGGAAGUAGAGAAACUAAUGGCAUAUACAAAACAGACAUAUUAUGAUGGAGGGCCAAAUUCAUUAAAACUUCUAGCAUAUAGACUUAAAAAGCAGAGUAAGAAAGCUUACAUUACAAAAUUAAAGACAGAAGGUAG